This 324-nucleotide long non-coding RNA is filed under the name Gallus gallus (chicken). Its description in RNAcentral is "lncRNA (ENSGALG00010012840.1)". The record is from RNAcentral. Lineage: Eukaryota; Metazoa; Chordata; Aves; Galliformes; Phasianidae.
GAGGGUAUCUUGCUGGAGAGACCUGUGUUCCUGAGGCCUUCUAAAGCUGAUGAAAGUAGGAUGAUGGGUUUUGUUGUAUGUUAAGCAAUCUUAAAUGACUGCUUGGAAGCCAUCUGGUAUUACCUGCUGACAGUUUUAAUACCUGUAGGAAAGGAGAACUGUGUCUCAAGCUGACUUUUCCCUUCAUUCAGUCUGUGGAAUGUGCUCAGGAGGAAAAGAAUCAACCAAAUGAAUGGAAAAAGAGAAAUCGGAGAGCCUAUACAGAUAUAUAGGAGGAAAGCUCUGUACAGAUGCACAAAAUUGCUGCAAUUGCUCUGUCUCCCU